RNAcentral lists this long non-coding RNA (1029 nucleotides) under Coffea arabica (coffee). RNAcentral's name for it is "long non-coding RNA (CARA_LNC007899)". The record is from RNAcentral. Lineage: Eukaryota; Viridiplantae; Streptophyta; Magnoliopsida; Gentianales; Rubiaceae.
UUGGCGGAAGCUAAGUCUAUGGAGAAUAUAGGCCUCAAAGGUCCUAAUUAAUUGGAACACACGUAGGGUUCACAAUCAAGAUAUUCCCAAUUUAAAUUUGGACGAUUGAUAUUAGUGAUUAGAGGUAAUGAAACAACGUUUUUGGUAUAUAGCAAAUGGUGUUAAAUGUUUAGAUUAGUAUGCUAGUAGGCUGGCCCUAACCAAAACUUUUGAAGCCUCAUCUUUGUGAUGCCAUAACUUUGAAAAUAGUUGAUGGAAAAUGGAACUGUUUUCUUUUCUUCUUUUUUUUUAUUGAUACAAAAAAUUUUGGGAACAGGGGAGCCCCAAUUCUGAAUUGCCUCAGGCGCUAGAGGAGCUUUUAGCAAAUGGCUGAUCAGAUUAAUGUCACACCAAAGACUAAGAUUCUUUUGUAAGUCUACAAGCCACUACAGCCCUUUAGCAAUGAAACUCAAUAAAAUGAUGGAUCAUGGUCUCAACUCUUGGCAGGAAAUGGUGAAUGCUCAAAGGACACAACAUCACCUUGACUUCUAUUAAGGAUACCACCUUAAUUAGUCUCACAUGCAAGUGGAUCGUACGUGCUUAUUGUAAAUGGACAACUGCAAUUGUGGCCACUAUGUAUCCAAAACUAUCCAUUGAAGAUUGUGGAAAACGAAAGUGUUAACAAUUGGCAAUGGACAAUUGGGAGUAACAGCGUGGAAUGUCACUCCACCCCCACCACAACAACAUCAUCCGUUGAGUUUAAUAUGUUCGUGAAAUUUGCUGAAACAAGUGCAUGCUUUUUUAUCUAUGGUUUAAAGAAGAACAUUUCUCCACGUAUUGAUUAUGGAGCUAGGCUUGUCUUUAAUUAACACAUGUACAAGAAGAGUUGGAGGAAUUUCUUGCUACUUCCAUCAUUCCAGCUGUUAUAGCCGACUCCAAUUGAAUAUAUUUUGAGUCCACUUUACAUAAGAAACAAAGAUGCGUUGUUAUUAUUUGUGCUGCCAAUCCGCAGUAAUUGAUUAGAAUCCACUCAAAGAAGUGAUGAUUUUG